Molecule: ribosomal RNA, 253 nt
Filed under: uncultured bacterium
Lineage: Bacteria
Description: partial 16S ribosomal RNA
Rfam family: Bacterial small subunit ribosomal RNA
Source: RNAcentral
UACGUAGGGGGCAAGCGUUGUCCGGAAUCAUUGGGCGUAAAGAGCGUGUAGGCGGCCCGAUAAGUCCGCUGUGAAAGUCCAGGGCUCAACCCUGGAAUGCCAGUGGAAACUGUCGGGCUGGAGUCCGGAAGAGGCGAGUGGAAUUCCUGGUGUAGCUGUGAAAUGCGCAGAUAUCAGGAGGAACACCAAUGGCGAAGGCAGCUCGCUGGGACGGUACUGACGCUGAGACGCGAAAGCGUGGGGAGCAAACAGG